Molecule: signal recognition particle RNA, 99 nt
Filed under: Acidobacteriota bacterium
Lineage: Bacteria; Pseudomonadati; Acidobacteriota
Also listed under: 1 other name
Description: Acidobacteria bacterium signal recognition particle sRNA small type
Rfam family: Bacterial small signal recognition particle RNA
About the family: The signal recognition particle (SRP) is a universally conserved ribonucleoprotein involved in the co-translational targeting of proteins to membranes.
Source: RNAcentral
CUUCAGGCUCCGCACAAGGUUUGAGUUGUGAACUCCGCUAGGCGAGGAAUCGAGCAACGGUAGCAAUUUCAGCCUGUGUUGCGGUUAAGCCUGAAGCCG